UUAGUAGCAAUCUUCAAGGAAUCGCUUUCAGAGCUUAUAACUCCAAUUCCUGGAGGAAUUUUCUGGUUAUCUCUUAGUUGAAGUAAAGUAUCUGCAAAAAUGAUUUUAAGUGUACUGAUUCUCUUGACAUCCCAGCUUUUUGGCGUUCAGGGUGAGAUUGUCGUGAUUUUAAAAGACAUAGAAUAUCCUUUUCAUGAUCCGGAAUAUAUAACAGAACCAGAUGCUUACAUUAAUGAAAAUAAUGAAAUAUUCUGUAAAUUUUCGAUAAAAAAAAAACGUUUCCAUCAACAGCUGAAGGAUAUAUUGCAUUGAUAGGAGCAUCAAUGGGUGAGUAUGUUAUAGAUACAUGAAUCAAUACACGAAUGCCCUUAUGUGACAUGUUAAAUGAACCUAUUGUCCUGGGUCCAACUCUUCAAGUGUUUGAAUUUGAUGAAAAUAAUUGUCCCCCUGAA
Long non-coding RNA from Cotesia glomerata, 452 nucleotides. RefSeq lists it as uncharacterized. The record is from RefSeq and is a predicted model, not a curated record. Lineage: Eukaryota; Metazoa; Arthropoda; Insecta; Hymenoptera; Braconidae. The transcript has 3 exons.